GACGAACGCUGGCGGCGUGCUUAACACAUGCAAGUCGAACGGAAAGGCCCUGCUUGCAGGGUACUCGAGUGGCGAACGGGUGAGUAACACGUGGGUGAUCUGCCCUGCACUUCGGGAUAAGCCUGGGAAACUGGGUCUAAUACCGGAUAGGAGCCAUUUUUAGUGUGAUGGUUGGAAAGUUUUUUCGGUGUAGGAUGAGCUCGCGGCCUAUCAGCUUGUUGGUGGGGUAAUGGCCUACCAAGGCGGCGACGGGUAGCCGGCCUGAGAGGGUGGACGGCCACAUUGGGACUGAGAUCCGGCCCAGACUCCUACGGGAGGCAGCAGUCGGGAAUAUUGCACAAUGGGCGCAAGCCUGAUGCAGCGACGCCGCGUGGGGGAUGACGGCCUUCGGGUUGUAAACUCCUUUCGCUAGGGACGAAGCUUUUUGUGACGGUACCUAGAUAAGAAGCACCGGCUAACUACGUG
Molecule: ribosomal RNA, 465 nt
Filed under: uncultured bacterium
Lineage: Bacteria
Description: partial 16S ribosomal RNA
Rfam family: Bacterial small subunit ribosomal RNA
Source: RNAcentral